UGACACUGCGCAUGACUCAGUGGUUAGCAUUGCUGCCCCACAGUACCAGGGACCUGCAUUCGAAUCCAGCCUCGGGCGACUGUACAUUUGUGAUGUUUUGUGCUGGCAUUCUAUAGGAUUAAAGUCACAAACAACUUUUCCACACUUCGUCUCAUUUGAUGGCUGUCCAUUAUGACAGCCUUGGAUACAGGAUAUAUGACAGAAGGUGGCAUACAAUGCACAAACACAGGACC
Molecule: long non-coding RNA, 233 nt
Organism: Hemiscyllium ocellatum (epaulette shark)
Lineage: Eukaryota; Metazoa; Chordata; Chondrichthyes; Orectolobiformes; Hemiscylliidae
Exons: 3
Source: RefSeq, a predicted model, not a curated record